RNAcentral lists this ribosomal RNA (460 nucleotides) under uncultured bacterium. RNAcentral's name for it is "partial 16S ribosomal RNA". It matches the Rfam family "Bacterial small subunit ribosomal RNA", at positions 338 to 795 of the family's 1533-position model. The record is from RNAcentral.
CCUACGGGAGGCAGCAGUGAGGAAUAUUGGUCAAUGGGCGAGAGCCUGAACCAGCCAAGUCGCGUGAAGGAUGAAGGAUCUAUGGUUUGUAAACUUCUUUUAUAUGGGAAUAAAGUGAGGAACGUGUUCCUUUUUGUAUGUACCAUAUGAAUAAGCAUCGGCUAACUCCGUGCCAGCAGCCGCGGUAAUACGGAGGAUGCGAGCGUUAUCCGGAUUUAUUGGGUUUAAAGGGUGCGUAGGUGGUUAAUUAAGUCAGCGGUGAAAGUUUGGUGCUCAACCAUAAAAUUGCCGUUGAAACUGGUUGACUUGAGUAUAUUUGAGGUAGGCGGAAUGCGUGGUGUAGCGGUGAAAUGCAUAGAUAUCACGCAGAACUCCGAUUGCGAAGGCGGCUUACUAGACUAUAACUGACACUGAAGCACGAAAGCGUGGGGAUCGAACAGGAUUAGAUACCCUAGUAGUC